RNAcentral lists this ribosomal RNA (497 nucleotides) under uncultured bacterium. Its description in RNAcentral is "partial 16S ribosomal RNA". It matches the Rfam family "Bacterial small subunit ribosomal RNA", at positions 28 to 507 of the family's 1533-position model. The record is from RNAcentral.
GAUGAACGCUGGCGGCGUGCCUAAUACAUGCAAGUCGAGCGAACAGACGAUGAGCUUGCUCCUCUGACGUUAGCGGCGGACGGGUGAGUAACACGUGGAUAACCUACCUAUUAGACUGGGAUAACUUCGGGAAACCGGAGCUAAUACCAGAUAAUAUAUUGAACCGCAUGGUUCAAUAGUGAAAGACGGUUUUGCUGUCACUUAUAGAUGGAUCCGCGCCGCAUUAGCUAGUUGGUAAGGUAACGGCUUACCAAGGCGACGAUGCGUAGCCGACCUGAGAGGGUGAUCGGCCACACUGGAACUGAGACACGGUCCAGACUCCUACGGGAGGCAGCAGUAGGGAAUCUUCCGCAAUGGGCGAAAGCUUGACGGAGCAACGCCGCGUGAGUGAUGAAGGUCUUCGGAUCGUAAAGCUCUGUUAUUAGGGAAGAACAAAUGUGUAAGUAACUAUGCACGUCUUGACGGUACCUAAUCAGAAAGCCACGGCUAACUACGUG